AAUAGAUACCCGGGUAGUCCACGCCGUAAACGAUGGAUGCUAGCUGUUAUGCGUAUCGACCCGUGUAGUAGCGAAGCUAACGCGUUAAGCAUCCCGCCUGGGGAGUACGAACGCAAGUUUAAAACUCAAAGGAAUUGACGGGGACCCGCACAAGCGGUGGAGCGUGUUCUUUAAUUCGAGGCUAAGCGAAGAACCUUACCAGGGCUUGACAUCCUUGGAAUUUCUCCGAAAGGAGAGAGUACUUUAUUGGACCAAGUGACAGGUGCUGCAUGGCCGUCGUCAGCUCGUGUCGUGAGAUGUUGGUUAAGUCCAUUAACGAGCGCAACCCUUAUGAAUAGUUGUAUUUUUCUAUUCAGACUGCCCCGGUAACGGGGAGAAGGGGGGAUGAUGUCAGGUCAGUAUUGCCCUUACGCCCUGGGCUAGAAACGCGCUACAAUGGCCGUACAAUGCGCUGCCAACCCGCGAGGGGGAGCAAAUCGCAUCAAAGCCGGUCCCAGUUCGGAUAAGAGGCUGAAACUCGCCUCUUGAAGCCGGAAUCGCUAGUAAUCGU
Molecule: ribosomal RNA, 550 nt
Filed under: uncultured bacterium
Lineage: Bacteria
Description: bacterial SSU rRNA
Rfam family: Bacterial small subunit ribosomal RNA
Source: RNAcentral